RNAcentral lists this long non-coding RNA (913 nucleotides) under Homo sapiens (human). RNAcentral describes it as "non-protein coding lnc-ZIC5-3:5". The record is from RNAcentral. Lineage: Eukaryota; Metazoa; Chordata; Mammalia; Primates; Hominidae.
ACAGGGGCGUGCGUGAGUUCCGGCGGCCUGCACCGGGCAAACCCCGUACCUUCCCAGCAUCGGCUCAGCAACCCACGUGCAUCCAGGCCGGUCAAUGUCAUUGAGUCACCUCCGCGCCUUGGCCACCCUGGAGUCCCGAGAAUCCGAAGUUCCAGACAAAUGCCCAAACUACAUUCCUGCAUGUUCGAAAGCGUAAAUUGCAAAGCACAAAUCCAGUUGUAGAUUGUGGCCGGGAGCAGUGGCUCACGCCUAUAAUCCCAGCACUUUGGGAGGCCGAGGCGGACAGAUCACGAGGUCAGCACUUCGAGACCAGCAUGGCCAACAUGGUGAAGCCCCAUCUCUACUAAAAAUACAAACAUUAGCCAGGCAUGGUGGUAGGCCCCUGUAAUCCCAGCUACUCGGUAGGCUGAGGCAGGAGAAUCACUUGAACCCGGGAGGCAGAGGUUUCAGUGAGCUGAGACUGCACCAUUGCACUCCAGCCUGGGCGACAGACCAAGACUCCAUCUCAAAAAAAAAAAAAAAAAAGUUAUAGAUUGUAAGGAAAAUACCCCCAAGGAAGUUGAGGACACAGCAGACUUGGACUGUCUCCAAACCUGUUCAUUCUUCUGAGUGCACUGCUCGGAGCAUCCUAUUGGGCAGCAUAUCCUGGCCUCCUUUCCAGUUCGAUGUGGUACUAUACCUGAUUUCUGGCCAAUAAAAUAUGAGAGGACAUGAAAUUCAACAGCCCCUGGGCUUGGCUUAUAAAACCUUCCAUGCAAUCCUCCACACCUUUUCACCUCUCAGCUGCUGAGACUUUUCUAGGCACUACACAGAAGCAGCCUGGGUCUCCAGUAGCAAAGGAGAGCAGAUCCUUCUCACUAUCCUGCACCGAACUGUGACAUGAGCAAAAAAUAAAGUUUUUAUUUUCUUACAC